Molecule: ribosomal RNA, 429 nt
Filed under: Bacteroidota bacterium
Lineage: Bacteria; Pseudomonadati; Bacteroidota
Description: Bacteroidetes bacterium partial 16S ribosomal RNA
Rfam family: Bacterial small subunit ribosomal RNA
Source: RNAcentral
UAGGGAAUCUUCGGCAAUGGGGGGAACCCUGACCGAGCAACGCCGCGUGAGUGAAGAAGGUUUUCGGAUCGUAAAGCUCUGUUGUUAAGGAAGAACGAGUGUGAGAAUGGAAAGUUCAUACUGUGACGGUACUUAACCAGAAAGGGACGGCUAACUACGUGCCAGCAGCCGCGGUAAUACGUAGGUCCCGAGCGUUGUCCGGAUUUAUUGGGCGUAAAGCGAGCGCAGGCGGUUAGCUAAGUCUGAAGUUAAAGGCAGUGGCUCAACCAUUGUAGUCUUUGGAAACUGGUUAACGUGAAUGCAGGAGGGGGGAGUGGAAUUCCAUGUGUCGCGGGGAAAUGGAUAGGUGUAUGGAGGAACACCGGUGACGAAAGCGGCUCUCUAGUCAGUAACUGACGCUGAGGCUCGAAAGCGUGGGGAGCGAACAGG